UAUUAUAUAUUAAUUUACAUUGAAUAAAUUCAUUCAAUUAUAUUUAUUUUAAAAAUGAAAUUUCCAUAAUAAAUAACACUUAAAUUUUACAUAAAUUAGAUAUAAACCAGGAUUAGAUACCCUGCUAUUCUAAAUUAUAUAAUAAUAUUUCAAAGAAAUACAAAAUAAAUCUGACGGUAUUAACUUUUACAAAGGAAUUUGUUUCUUAAUCGACAACCCACGAACAUCUUACUUAAUAAAUUUUUGUAUACCACCGUAAAGAAAUUAAUUCAUAAUCUCAGAACAGACUAAAUUCUUAAAAAUCAGGUCAAGGUGCAAUUUUAUUAAGACGAAAUGAAUUACAUUAAUUUUUACUCACUCAUAUUAACUGAAAUAUUAAUAAAAAAAGAAUUUGUUAGUAAAAUUUUAUCAUAAUGAUAAUUUGAAAACCAACAUUAAUAUG
Molecule: ribosomal RNA, 442 nt
Filed under: Peripatus sp. MCZ 131445
Lineage: Eukaryota; Metazoa; Onychophora; Udeonychophora; Euonychophora; Peripatidae
Description: partial 12S ribosomal RNA
Source: RNAcentral